RNAcentral lists this ribosomal RNA (200 nucleotides) under Monascus pallens. Its description in RNAcentral is "5.8S ribosomal RNA". The stretch from base 44 to 197 matches the Rfam family "5.8S ribosomal RNA". From Rfam's summary of the family: 5.8S ribosomal RNA (5.8S rRNA) is a component of the large subunit of the eukaryotic ribosome. It is transcribed by RNA polymerase I as part of the 45S precursor that also contains 18S and 28S rRNA. Lineage: Eukaryota; Fungi; Ascomycota; Eurotiomycetes; Eurotiales; Aspergillaceae. The record is from RNAcentral.
CAGUCUGAGUUGGGCAGUCAUGCCAAAACAAAAAUUCAAUUAAAACUUUCAACAACGGAUCUCUUGGUUCCGGCAUCGAUGAAGAACGCAGCGAAAUGCGAUAAGUAAUGUGAAUUGCAGAAUUCAGUGAAUCAUCGAAUCUUUGAACGCACAUUGCGCCCCCUGGUAUUCCGGGGGGCAUGCCUGUCCGAGCGUCAUUA